GGGAGGAGCUGUCACAGCGAUUGGUAUCCUGAGGGAAGCAAAGAAAGAAUUGUUCAAUUACUUUACGAGUUGACCUCAGUUUGGUGAACGUCUGGUCACAAACUCAAUUGGCCGCCUUCUACCACCAAACUGGAUCGGAUUAAAGCCUUAACCUGAGAGUGGAGUGGAGCCAAGAUGUGUGUGUCGACAGUUGAGCCUCACUCCAACUGUCGUCUUCAUCCUCUCACUAAACAGUAGUCGCCAAAGAAACGCGCCCUGGCUUGUGUGGGUCAACAGCUUGAAACGGGUCAAGCUUCUCGCUGCAAUAUACUGCACCUGCUUCCACUGUCGCCAUCAAAGUCCGCCGACGCGCGUUCAGCUCAUAUCGAUGCGUACGUGUCACGAAUUCUC
Long non-coding RNA from Gasterosteus aculeatus aculeatus (three-spined stickleback), 390 nucleotides. The record is from Ensembl. Lineage: Eukaryota; Metazoa; Chordata; Actinopteri; Perciformes; Gasterosteidae.